RNAcentral lists this long non-coding RNA (202 nucleotides) under Vigna radiata. Its description in RNAcentral is "long non-coding RNA (VRAD_LNC018603)". Lineage: Eukaryota; Viridiplantae; Streptophyta; Magnoliopsida; Fabales; Fabaceae. The record is from RNAcentral.
GAAAAAGUAAACUGACAAAUCCUAAAACGAAAUGUGUGAACUAAUUAAAAUGCAACGAAACUUGAAGUGAAAUUGCUAAAUUAGAAAUUAAAGGCACAUUGCAGCUUGGAAUAAAAGAAGCAAAGUUUAGCUAAUAAUUAAAUUGCUCAUUGCACAAGAAAUAAAUAAACACACUUAGCUAAUAAAGAAAGGCACCUUCCGG